GAUGAACGCUAGCUACAGGCUUAACACAUGCAAGUCGAGGGGAAACGGCAUCGAAAGCUUGCUUUUGAUGGGCGUCGACCGGCGCACGGGUGAGUAACGCGUAUCCAACCUGCCCAUCACUUGGGAAUAACCUUGCGAAAGUAAGACUAAUGCCAAAUGACAUCCCACGAAGGCAUCCGAAUGGGAUUAAAGAUUUAUCGGUGAUGGAUGGGGAUGCGUCUGAUUAGCUUGUUGGCGGGGUGACGGCCCACCAAGGCAACGAUCAGUAGGGGUUCUGAGAGGAAGGUCCCCCACAUUGGAACUGAGACACGGUCCAAACUCCUACGGGAGGCAGCAGUGAGGAAUAUUGGUCAAUGGACGAGAGCCUGAACCAGCCAAGUAGCGUGCAGGAUGACGGCCCUAUGGGUUGUAAACUGCUUUUAUAAGGGAAUAAAGUGGGUCACGUGUGACUUUUUGCAUGUACCUUAUGAAUAAGGACCGGCUAAUUCCGUG
This 492-nucleotide ribosomal RNA is filed under the name uncultured bacterium. Its description in RNAcentral is "partial 16S ribosomal RNA". It matches the Rfam family "Bacterial small subunit ribosomal RNA", at positions 28 to 507 of the family's 1533-position model. The record is from RNAcentral.